This is a small nuclear RNA of Prolemur simus (greater bamboo lemur), 165 nucleotides long. Its record names the gene U1. It matches the Rfam family "U1 spliceosomal RNA". From Rfam's summary of the family: U1 is a small nuclear RNA (snRNA) component of the spliceosome (involved in pre-mRNA splicing). Its 5' end forms complementary base pairs with the 5' splice junction, thus defining the 5' donor site of an intron. The record is from Ensembl. NCBI's taxonomy places the organism in Eukaryota, Metazoa, Chordata, Mammalia, Primates, Lemuridae.
AUACUUACCUGGUAGGGGAGAUACCAUGAUUAUGAAGGGUGGCUUUCCCAGGGUGAGGCUUAUCCAUUGCACUCUGGAUGUGCUCACCCCUGCAAUUUCCCCAAAUGUGGGAAACUUGACUGCAUAAUUUAUGGUAGUGGGGGACUGUAUUUGUGUUUUCCCCUG